AUCUUGCUAAUUCUGUGACGUCACAUCAUGUCUCACUAAGGAUUGUGGGUACUUUCGAGAGUUCACUGUAUGUUUACAGCGAAGCAAGACUGGUAACCACUUGUGAUGUUGCCAAGAAUUCUUGACUACAGGUCAUUGUCAACUUAAACGGACGGAUGUUUGCGAACAUGGAGCAGUGCCAUGCCAUGUCCUCACUCGAGUUAGCGGAACAGAUAAAACAGACACUUGUAGAACUGGCCUCCGAAGAACUGCACCGCCAUGAUGCUGCAGAUGAGCCAGAACACAAGGCACACCAGUAACACGUUGAAGAUGGACGGGAUCGCUUGAAGGAGAGCGUUCACCACAACCUACCAAAACAACAACAAAUAACAGCACGAUAGCAGCCGGGGAUGCCACAAACUAUCUGCUACAUUCAAUGCACUGAUCAACGAGUCUUCAAGCAGUAUAAAAGAACGUCAUGGAAGAAGUAGAUUCAUUCCUUGACUGGUGUCGUACAGUGGACAAUUUGAUUCUCUGUGACUGUGUUGGAAUUUACAGUUGAAAGAUUAUUCUCCAUAAGGUUUGAAUUUUC
This is a long non-coding RNA of Branchiostoma floridae (Florida lancelet), 571 nucleotides long. RefSeq lists it as uncharacterized. Lineage: Eukaryota; Metazoa; Chordata; Leptocardii; Amphioxiformes; Branchiostomatidae. The transcript is spliced from 4 exons. The record is from RefSeq and is a predicted model, not a curated record.